CAGGUUGAGCCUGAGCACCCUGUCCGCCAAGAUAAUUGUAACAUCCCAAUAUUUGUAAUUUGGAUGUUAUCACCUUUUUCAUGUCACAUGCAUAUCAUUCUGACCAUAUUUGAGUUUGGAGAUGAUCUUACAAUUUAAUUGGGAGUUUAUUUGAACCUUAAGAGUGAUUAUAUGCAUUUGUUGGAAUUUAUUUGAGCUGCAUAUGCAUUAAAAAUACUUUUAUAAAUUAUAUUCCAUGAGGAAACUAUUUUUCCUAGCUUCCAAACAGGUAUUUGGAAUUUUAUGAAUUUUCUGGAAUCUUUCCGAUGCCGUUUGGUAUUUUAUUUGCCUUAUUUGAUUUUCUGGCGAUUUAGAGACCCAAAAAAAGCUAUUUCUUUAUUUGUUUUCCUUUUAUUCCGCGGAGUACGUUUUCUCUACAUGGAGGCGUAUUUCCGUGAAACCCGUUUUCACUUAAGUGUACCAAAGGGGUAUCUUUUAAUCUCAUCCAUCAAUUUCCCAUCCAAGGGCCAUCCUUCCUUUUUCCUUUUCCUUUUCUUUUUUUUUCUUUUCUCCUUUCUUCCUUCUUCUUCCUCACGCAAGCACAGGCAUAGCCUGUUCUGGCUGCGUCCAUGGCCAAGCCCAUCCCGGCCGCCGCUGCUGCUCGCCGGCCCCGCCCCGCCGCCCUGGCUCCGCCGCUCGCCGCCGCAGCCCCGCCGCCCGCCCGCGCUACCCCUGCACCGGCCGAGCCCGAGCUCGAGCUCGCGUCGCCGGCGUCCAUGGCCGUCCACCUCGAACACCACCCUCCGAACCGUUUUUCUUCGCGAUUUCUUCGCUAAUUCGUGACCCACAUGGCAAGGAAUCUAUCCCAACAAGAUUGAAACCCUCCCGGACUCUAACUCGUCCGAAUUUUAAGCGAAACCGAAUCCCGUUCAAAUCUCACCCGCCGGCCUUAUCCCGAGCGCCCCGAGCCCUAUAAAUACCCAAACCUGACGCCCUCAAGAGCCCCGACCAAUCUCUCAAAACCUAGCUAGAAGCCGCAGUCAAUCUUGCCACCAAUUUCAAGUUUCGUCCCCGUUUCCACGCAAACUCCGGCAAGUAAUUCCUACCACCUCGCCCCAAAUUAGCCCGAGCCACCACAACCUUUAAGUGCUCAGAAUUGAGUCGUAUGUGUUUGGAAAAAUGUUUUCGAAACAAAACCUCAAAAUGUUUUCAACUGGGCGGAGUGGUAUGUUUGAGACCAUUAUUGGUUGUCGACAAGGGCAACAUCCAAUUCGGCUCUGUAGAUGCUCAGGAUUUUCGGUGGGAACCGCCGUCCAGAAUCUAAAAGUUCAAUUCUUUUCCAAAGGAACCCAAAAGCUUACCUGUACAACCACCUGCUAUUAUGGCUCUGGCUUAGUCAAGUAACUAGCGGGAAACCCUUACUUGGGUAUCGUCAUCCGGAGAGGGGCCAAUGUGCUCAUAUGGGGCGAGCGGUGCCAGUAUUAAGUAUAGGGGGCUUCUAGUGAAAGACUUCGUCACAAUCUUUACCUGUUGCGCAUGCUUGUCGUUAGGCAACACUUCGGACUGAUGGUGUCUGGUGGGUAAAGUGUACAAACCUUUGCAGAGUGUCAAUCUAAUCGAUUAGCCAUGCCCUUGGUUGCGGGCGAUCUUUGAGCUACUAAGUCUGGUUAAGAGGAGAUCUUCUAGUUUUGUUUUGACUCGAUGGAAGCAUCCACAGAAUGAGUAUCUACUCGAUGGAUCCCACAGAAUGGGUCAGGGAAAUCAAGGGUUGCUAUGUGAGUGUCAGUUUGACCCAGAAUACAUAGUUAGGUCGUGGAGAUUUCACAGAAAGACCAUAUCUACUUUUCAAAACUAUUUUCUAUGAAAUUCUAGAUUUAGAGUUUUGCAAAGAAAAGCUAUUAUGAGUAUGUCAAAAUGAAACUUGCUGUUUUGGCAAAAGAACCAUAGAAGCCACUUAGGAACUAUCCAAUAAGCAUGUACUUGCAUUUCUCCUAACCUCACAGGUAUUUAUUUGUGAGUGCAUUCAAUGUACUUAUCUGCACCUAUCAUGUGCAGAGAGUUAUAAUUAAAGGAAGGAGGUACGCACGGUCGCGAGUCUACAUUCAACUUGCCUGUGGCGUGGAUGGAAGCUCAUUUAUCUUCAUUUGAUAUUUUUUAGACUUUCGUUGUGUAAUAAUACUCUGGAUUGUUAUCUUUUAUGCGUUAUAAUAAAGACAUGUAUUGUGAUACUUCAUCAUGAACUGUGGGUACUAUCAUGGAUCCAGGGACUAGUACUAUAAACAUAGUGAUUCCAGGUCUUUAAUGGUCUGGGUCACCACAGAUGGUAUCAGAGCUCAUGUUGCCUAUAGGACGUGACCCUAGUAGUGGAAAAGCCAUAGGGACUUAUUUUAAGUAAAUCAAGAAGAAUAUAUACCUAUAUACUUAUACUCCUAUUCUUGUCUAUCUAACAUGGAUUCUGAUCGACUUUUCCCCUCUUUGUUAAAAAUUGUGUAGAUGGCUGCCAACGGAGAGUUUCACCAGGCUGGACAGGACGACCUUCCCUUUGAGGCGCAGUUGCAUGACGUGACCACAUACCUGCGCAUGCCUGCACCAGAGUUUCGUGCUUACCGUCGCGCGGACCGUCCAGGACACGUCGACGCCGCCGCCAAGAUCCGUGGACGCCAGGUUCACCCCGUCACCAGGGACGUCACCUUCACUGUGGGAGCGGACACUUGGGAGGCUGGCCUGAUAAAGGCCAUGCAGGAGACUCUUGCCCGGAUCUGCGGCGAGUACGCCUCUGAGCUCGUCUUCACCGCCUACGAGGACUUCGGCAAGAAGACCCGAUACGGGAGUCUGUUUCCUCGUACCGGCGGCCUCACCCCCAGCGCCCAGCAGUACGCCGACCUCGAGCGCUACCUCGAUAGCGUCCAGGCUCAGCAGGAGGUCACCAGGAGCAUCUCGGAUGCGCAUCCUCACGCCCGGGAUGAGCUGAACCAGUAGUUAGCCCUGGCUGAUGUUCAGAUCACCGCUCUCAAGCGGGAGCACGAUCUGCUACGAUCUGCUAAAGGCCAAGGACGUGGAGUCUCAGCAGAAGGUGCAGGCACGGGAGGCCCUGAACAACGACGCGAAGGACGAGCUGGGACAGUUGCAGGAGACAGCCUACAUCCUGCAGGAGGAGUUAGAUGAGGUGGUGUAGAAGGCUCAGCGCAAGAACACCAAGAUACAGGAACUGAAGAACCGUGUGGACCUACUUCAGACCAUAGUUGUCGAGCUGGAGGAUGCACUUGAGGAGGCCCGUGACAACGGGGAGGGACGUUCAGGAUGAGGACGAGGCAUUCCUCAGUAAUGACGAGGACUACGAGGAGCAGAUGCAGAUCAGGGUUGAGGAGUUCGACUACGAGAUGGCCGACUCCGGAAACGAGGACGAACCGAUGGAGGAGGAGGAGGACCCCGAGGAGGUUAUCUUCGAGUCCGACGUUGAGACCAACCGUGAUGAGUAGAUGCUACCUUAUUAGAACCCUUUUCGCUUAGUUUUUCCUUAGUUCUUGGUUUAAACAGUACUGACCGAUCAAACUUUGUGGUUGGUAGACUUAGGAUUUUUCGUGAAACUAUUCAUUCGAGUUUGAUUGAGUUUAAUAAAGUCAAGUUUAUUUAAGUCAAUUUAUUUGACUUCUUCAUGCUGCAAGCAUCUAUGGGUAGUUAUGUUCUUAUAGACCCUGCUUUCUCGGCUCUUAUCUUUUCUAGCAAGAUGUCAACGCGCAACACUAGGAGCAACACCGGCAACAACAACACUGGCAACACCAACCCCAACCCCAACACCAACGCUGGCAACAACAACAAUGGAGUACCCGGACUUGCUGAAUUUUUGCAAGCUCAGACUCAGCUAGUGAACCUGCUCACUCAGAACCUGAACCAGAACAACCGCAACAACCCGCCACCUCCACCACCACCCUCCGACCGUUUGACUAGGUUUUUGAGGUUUCACCCACCUACUUUCUCUAGCUCAGCUGAACCCAUUGAAGCAGAUGAUUGGCUUCGCACCAUCCAAAAGAAGCUACUCACCAUCGAGUGCACUGAUCAGGAGAGAGUGCUAUAUGCAAGCCAUCAGCUUGAAGGAGCCGCAGCAGCUUGGUAGGAUACAUUCAAGUUCAGAUUUGGAGGGGAUGAGAUCACAUGGGAUGAUUUUGUUGAAGGUUUCCGCAAAGCUCACGUUCCAGCAGGGAGUAUGGGAUUGAUGGGGAAGGAGUUCCGUGCAUUGCGUCAAGGAUCCAAGACUGUGCAGGAGUAGUUAGAGAGGUUCACUCAGUUAGCUCGCUGUGCCCCUGACGAUGUACCCGAUGAUGAGGAUAAACAGGAGCUAUUCUUGGAUGGUCUGAAUGACGAGCUCAGUGUGCAAUUAGUUUCAUCUGAUUUUCACAGUUUUCUGAAUUUGAUUGACAAGGCAAUCCGCUUAGAAGGCAAGCAGAAGCAAGUGGAGAACCGCAAGAGGAAGGCAAGUAACAAGUUUGGUAUGGGAUUUCACAGCAAGCACCGUACCCAUUCACCUCCAAGGCACCGUCACUUUGGUUCUUCAUCAGGACGAUCCCAUGAGGAGAAACGCCACCACCAGCACAAGGAUCAGGGCCAGCUCCACCAUCAUGGGAGUCAGCAUCGUGGAAGCAACCAUGGAGGUAAUGGCAGCAGCAACAACAGUGGACACCGUCAGCACCGUAGUGGAUCAGCCUCAGAGAAGAAGGACUUGAGUCAAGUGGAAUGCUAUCAUUGCCACAAAUUGGGACACUACUCAACACAGUGUCCGGAGAAGCAGCAAAGCAACAAGAACCAAGGAGACAAGAGGCCUAGCCCCUUUGUGAAGGCCAAGCUGAACCAUGUUUCUGCAGAAGAGGCUUAUGAAGCACCGGACGUCGUAGUUGGUACGUUCCUUAUCAACUCCAACCCAGCAGUUAUAUUAUUUGAUACUGGAGCAUCGCAUUCUUUCAUUUCAAAAGCAUGGGUGCAAAAGCAUGGGGUAGCCACUAAAGCACUUAGAACACCGUUGUUAGUGACAUCCCCUGGGAAAGAAUUCCGAGCAGACCAUUUUUGUCAUGGAGUGUUGAUAAGGCUUGGCAGCGAGACUUUUCCCUCAAACCUUAUCGUACUAGAGUCCCAAGGUUUAGAUGUAAUCCUAGGGAUGGACUGGCUAUCUAGACACAAAGGACACAUAGAUUGUGCUAACCUAGCAGCUACUGUGACCAGCCCGGAAGGAAAGAGAAUCAGAUUUACAUCCAAAGUCAAGCGAAGAAGAGCCAUGGUUAAUGCACUUAAGGGAAGUAGUCUCGAGGAAGUUCCCAUUGUUAAUGAAUACAUGGAUGUGUUUCCAGAGGAUUUACCAGGAAUGCCACCUGAUAGGGAUAUUGAGUUUUUAAUUGAUCUAGUUCCAAGAACUGCCCCAAUAUCCAAAAGACCCUAUAGGAUGCCCGCAAAUGAAUUAGCAGAACUUAAGAAACAGUUGCAAGAAUUGCAAGCAAAGGGGUACAUCAGACCGAGCUCAUCACCUUGGGGAGCACCGGUACUGUUUGUACAGAAGAAGGACAAGAGUAUGAGGAUGUGUGUUGACUAUCGUUCUCUUAACGAGGUCACCAUCAAAAACAAAUACCCUUUACCCAUGAUCAAUGACUUGUUUGAUCAGUUGGAAGGAGCUAGUGUGUUUUCCAAGAUAUAUCUGCGAUCAGGCUAUCAUCAGCUGAAGAUUCGAACCCAAGACAUACCCAAGACGGCAUUCUCUACAAGAUAUGGACUAUAUGAGUACACAGUUACGUCAUUUGGUUUAACCAAUGCCCCAGCCUAUUUUAUGAACAUGAUGAACAAGGUGUUCAUGGAGUUCUUAGAUAAGUUUGUCGUAGUCUUCAUUGAUGACAUUCUUAUUUAUUCCAAGUCUGCUAGUGAGCACGAAGUACACCUUCGGAAGGUAUUGGAUAAGCUUAGAGAGCACCAGCUUUAUGCCAAGUUUAGUAAGUGUGAGUUUUGGCUUAGUGAAGUUGCUUUCCUUGGACACAUUGUGUCAGGAAAAGGACUGGUCGUAGACCCCUCAAAGGUAGAAGCUGUCACUGAAUGGAAGUCACCAAAGUCAGUUCCGGAAGUUAGAAAAGUUUCUUAGGACUUGCGGGAUAUUACUGUAGGUUCAUUGAGAAUUUCUCGAAGAUAGCCAGACCGUUGACCUAGUUAUUGAAGAAAGAAAAGAGGUACGAUUGGACACCUGAGUGUGAAGCAGCAUUUCAGGAAUUGAAGAAGAAGCUAGUUUCAGCACCAGUUUUGAUCCUACCAGUCUAUUGUGAUGCGUCACGCCAAGGUUUAGGAUGUGUUUUGAUGCAGGAAGGAAAGGUAGUUGCAUAUGCGUCGCGUCAACUUCGGCCACAUGAGAUGAAUUACCCCACUCAUGAUUUGGAGCUAGCAGCCGUAGUUCACUCACUUAAGAUAUGGAGACAUUACCUUAUGGGUAACCUCUGUGAUAUUUACACGGACCAUAAGAGUUUGAAGUAUAUAUUCACACAGAAUGAGCUGAAUCUUAGACAAAGAAGAUGGUUGGAACUUAUCAAGAAUUAUGACUUGCUCAUUCAGUAUCACCCAGGCAAAGCUAACAUAGUAGCCGAUGCCCUUAGUCGUAAGAGCCACUGCAAUUUCAUAACGGCAACAAUGAUGCCUACAAAGUUAUGUGACCAGUUUAGGAACCUAAGUUUGGAGGUUGUGCCAAAAGGAUUCCUAGCCACUUUGGAAGUAAAGCCUACUCUUUUGGACAAAAUUAGGGAAGCCCAAAAGAAAGAUGAGAAUUUUGAAAAGAUCAAGCAGAGUAUGAGAAGGAAAAUCUUUAGCGUUCUCCGAGGAUGAGCAUGGAACCAUUUGGUUUGAGGAGGGAAUUUGUGUGCCCCAAGACCCAGAAAUAAAGAAGGUGAUCCUUCAAGAAGGUCAUGACUCACCAUAUUCCAUACACCCAGGAAGCACUAAGAUGUAUCUCGACCUGAAGGAGAAAUUUUGGUGCCCAAGUAUGAAGAGAGAAAUUGCAGAAUAUAUCUCAUUAUGUGAUGUGUGUCAGAGAGUCAAGGCAGAACAUCAGAAACCCGCAGGAUUGUUGCAACCCCUUCCUAUACCGGAGUGGAAGUGGGAUGGAAUUGGUAUGGAUUUUAUCACUGGACUACCUAGAACCCGUUCAAGCUUUGAUUCUAUUUGGGUAGUAGUUGAUCGACUCACUAAAGUCGCCCAUUUCAUCCCCGUCAAGACAACAUAUACAAGUGCCCAGCUAGCCAAGUUGUACAUGACCAGGAUCGUGUGUUUGCAUGGAGUGCCAAAAGAGAUUGCAUCGGAUCGUGGAACCCAAUUCACAUCCAAGUUUUGGGGCCAGCUACAUGAAGCCUUAGGUACUCGAUUGGAGUUUAGUACCGCAUUUCACCCACAAACCGAUGGACAGACUGAGAGGGUGAAUCAGAUAUUAGAAGACAUGUUGAGAGCAUGUGCUUUGGAUUAUGGAUCCAGUUGGGAUGACAACUUACCUUAUGCAGAGUUUUCUUAUAACAAUAGUUUCCAGGCUAGCCUAAAAUUUCCCCGUUUGAAGCUUUGUAUGGGAGGAAAUGUAGGACACCACCUAUGUGGGAUGAAGUUGGAGAACGUCAGUUGUUUGGACCGGACUUAAUCAAGGAUGCCGAAGAAAAGGUUAAGUUAAUUAAGGAUAGACUGAAGGUAGCUCAGUCCCGACAGAAGAGUUAUGCAGAUUCUAAGCGUAAGGAAGUUACGUAUGAACCAGGUGACCGAGCUUACCUCAGAGUUUCGCCACUUAGAGGCGUAAAGAGAUUUGGAAUUAAGGGAAAACUAGCACCUCGCUAUGUGGGACCCUAUAAAAUUCUAGAGCGCCGAGGAGAGGUAGCUUACCAGCUAGAAUUACCAGAAGCUUUGUCCAGCGUGCACAAUGUUUUCCAUGUGUCCCAAUUGAAGAAGUGUUAUGCAGAGGAAUCCAAGUUACCACUUAGAGACACUGUACCAAUAGAAGCAAUUCAGUUGAACGAGGACCUCACCUAUGAGGAACACCCAGUAAAGAUUCUUGAGACGACUGAACGGAUUACUCGAAUGAAGACCAUUCGAUUUUGCAAGGUUCAGUGGAGUCACCAUACAGAGGAAGAGUCCACUUGGGAACGAGAGGAGAACUUGAAGAAGGAUUACCCUCACCUAUUUGCUAGCCAACCCGAAUCUCGAGGACGAGAUUCAUCUUAAGGGGGGUAGGUUUGUAACGUCCCAAUUUUUCUAAUUUGGAUAUUAUCACCUUUUUCAUGUCACAUGCAUAUCAUUUAGACCAUAUUUGAGUUUGGAGAUAAUCUUACAAUUUAAUUGGGAGUUUAUUUGAACCUUAAGAGUGAUUAUAUGCAUUUGUUAGAAUUUAUUUGAGCUGCAUAUGCAUUAAAAAUACUUUUAUAAAUUAUAUUCCAUGAGGAAACUAUUUUUCCAAGCUUCCAAACAGGUAUUUGGAAUCUCAGGAAUUUUCUGGAAUUUUUCCGAUGCCGUUUGGUAUUUUAUUUGCCUUAUUUGAUUUUCUAUCGAUUUAGAGACCACAAAAAAGCUAUUUCUUUAUUUGUUUUUCUUUUAUUCCGCGGAGUACGUUUUCUCUACAUGCACGCAUAUUUCCGUGAAACCCAUUUUCACUUAAGUGUACCGAAGGGGUAUCUUUUAAUCUCAUCCAUCCAUUUCCCAUCCAACGGCCAUCCUUCCUUUUUCCUUUUCCUUUUCUUUUUUUUUCUUUUCUCCUUUCUUCCUUCUUCUUCCUCACGCAAGCACAGGCACAGCCUGUUCUGGCUGCGUCCAUGGCCAAGCUCAGCCCGGCCGCCGCUGCUGCUCGCUGACCCUGGCUCCCCUGCUCGCCGCCGCAGCCCCGCCGCCCGCCCGCGCUGCCCCUGCCACGGCUGAGCCCGAGCUCGAGCUCGAGUCGCCGGCGUCCAUGGCCGUCCACCUCGAACACCACCCUCCGAACCGCUUUUCUCCACGAUUUCUUCGCUAAUUCGUGACCCACACGGCAAGGAAUCUAUCCCAACAAGAUUGAAACCCUCUCGGACUCUGUCUCGUCCGAAUUUUAAGCGAAACCGAAUCCCGUUCAAAUCUCACCCGCCGCCGGCCUUAUCCCGAGCGCCCCGAGCCCUAUAAAUACCCAAACCUGACGCCCUCAAGAGCCCCGACCAAUCCCUCGAAACCUAGCUGGAAGCCGCAGUCAAUCUUGCCACCAAUUUCAAGUUUCGUCGCCGUUUCCACGCAAACUCCGGCAAGUAAUUCCUACCACCUCGCCCCAAAUUAGCCCGAGCCACCACCACCUUUAGAUCCCUAUCGAUGCCUAGAACACCAUACACCACAGCCUUGCCGCCGGACACCUCUGUUUCGCCGAGUCCCAUCAACUCCGGCGAACUUCAUCUUCUCCGGUGAGCUUUCUUGCUCUGUUUUCGAGCUGCAGUCUGUUUUGAUUAGCCUACUUCUAUACUCCGUAUCUUUUGUUCCGUAGAUCCUAUUUAGGAAAUUCUUUUUGCAUCUGGUAGCUUACAUCUUUCUCUAUAAAUUAGACCUCAUUAGAAGCCUCGUCUCUAUCAUCUUCAGCAGUGCAUCUUCGUUCCAAAUCGGUAUUCCCAGUAGUCUGUUUUAGAUUAGAUACCUUUCGACGUUCUUGUUGAGUAGAUUGUAGACCCGUUUAGGGGUUAAGCUUCUGUAGUUUGACGAGUAGGUCUUGUGUUACACCCUGUUAAUUUUGGGCACCUUUUGUAGAUUUAGAUAAUGAACUAAAAGUUUGUCAAAACUAGCUACCUGUACAACCACCUCUUAUUAUGGCUCUGGCUUAGUCAAGUAACUAGCGGGAAACCCUUACUUGGGUAUCGUCAUCCGGAG
RNAcentral lists this long non-coding RNA (9843 nucleotides) under Brachypodium distachyon (stiff brome). Its description in RNAcentral is "long non-coding RNA (BDIS_LNC002142)". Lineage: Eukaryota; Viridiplantae; Streptophyta; Magnoliopsida; Poales; Poaceae. The record is from RNAcentral.